RNAcentral lists this small RNA (28 nucleotides) under Arabidopsis thaliana (thale cress). RNAcentral describes it as "ATSL168590". Lineage: Eukaryota; Viridiplantae; Streptophyta; Magnoliopsida; Brassicales; Brassicaceae. The record is from RNAcentral.
AAAACAGACAUUUACCACUAGACUAAGG